UGUGGCUUACGGAUGGGCCUGCGGCGCAUUAGCUAGUUGGCGGGGUAACGGCCCACCAAGGCGACGAUGCGUAGCCGACCUGAGAGGGUGAUCGGCCACACUGGGACUGAGACACGGCCCAGACUCCUACGGGAGGCAGCAGUAGGGAAUCUUCCGCAAUGGGCGCAAGCCUGACGGAGCAACGCCGCGUGAGUGAUGAAGGUUUUCGGAUCGUAAAGCUCUGUUGCCAGGGAAGAANGUCGCGGAGAGUAACUGCUCUGCGAAUGACGUACCNAGAGAAGC
This 282-nucleotide ribosomal RNA is filed under the name soil bacterium 10V-08. Its description in RNAcentral is "partial 16S ribosomal RNA". It matches the Rfam family "Bacterial small subunit ribosomal RNA", at positions 213 to 488 of the family's 1533-position model. The record is from RNAcentral.